GAUGAAGAACGUAGCGAAAUGCGAUAAGUAGUGUGAAUUGCAGAAUUCAGUGAAUCAUCGAAUCUUUGAACGCACAUUGCGCCUUCUAGUAUUCUGGGAGGCAUGCCUGUUUGAGCGUUAUUAAACCUCUCUCAAGUAUGAUUACUUGGAUGUGAAGGAAGAGUACCUUAAACUUAAGGAGUGUUCUCCUUUGAAAUUGAUUAGCAGAUGGUAAUGUUAUUAAAUCCCUGAUGUUGUAAGAAAUAACAGUGGUUUUGUAGACUAUUAUCUAGCUUUAAAUUAUAAUUUUUAUUAUGGUUGACCUCAAAUCAGGUAAGGAUACCCGCUGAACUUAAGCAUAUCAAUAAGCGGAGGA
RNAcentral lists this unclassified non-coding RNA (355 nucleotides) under soil metagenome. RNAcentral describes it as "partial contains 5.8S ribosomal RNA, internal transcribed spacer 2, and large subunit ribosomal RNA". The stretch from base 1 to 120 matches the Rfam family "5.8S ribosomal RNA", at positions 35 to 154 of the family's 154-position model. The record is from RNAcentral.